AACCUGGUUGAUCCUGCCAGUAGUCAUAUGCUUGUCUCAAGGAUUAAGCCAUGCAUGUGUUAGUAUAAGUACUGUACAGCGAAACUGCGAAUGGCUCAUUAAAUCAGUUAUAGUUUACUUGAUAAUCGAAAGUUACAUGGAUAACCGUGACAAAUUACAGCUAAUACAUGCAGUCAGACCUUGUCCGAGGUCGUAAUUAUUAGUAUUAAACCAAUUCCUUCGGGAGUGUGAUGAAUCAUAGUAAUCGAACGAAUCGUAGGGAUCUACGAUAAAUCAUUCAAGUUUCUGCCCUAUCAGCUUUGGAUGGUAGUGUAUUGGACUACCAUGGCAGUCACGGGUAACGGAGAAUUAGGGUUCGAUUCCGGAGAGGGAGCCUGAGAAACGGCUACCACAUCUACGGAAGGCAGCAGGCGCGAAAAUUGCCCAAUCCCGACACGGGGAGGCAGUGACAAGAAAUAACAACCCUCGACUAUGUCGAGAAGUGUAAUGAGGAUAAUUUACAAACCUUACCAAAAGCAAUUGGAGGGCAAGUCUGGUGCCAGCAGCCGCGGUAAUUCCAGCUCCAAUAGCGUAUAU
Molecule: ribosomal RNA, 576 nt
Filed under: uncultured marine eukaryote
Lineage: Eukaryota
Description: SSU rRNA
Rfam family: Eukaryotic small subunit ribosomal RNA
Source: RNAcentral